This 3003-nucleotide long non-coding RNA is filed under the name Sus scrofa (pig). Its description in RNAcentral is "lncRNA (ENSSSCG00035024958.1)". The record is from RNAcentral. Lineage: Eukaryota; Metazoa; Chordata; Mammalia; Artiodactyla; Suidae.
ACCUCUGGAAGGCCCUUAGCCACCGAGGGCAGCCAGGAAAACAGGUGUGAGGAUAAGGUCCAGGGUCAUGACAGGCAGUCCGUUUGUGGGCACGUAGGAGAAGGAAGGAAUUGGUGGGCAGACCUCUGACUCAGCCCUGCACAACCCUCACUCCCAGGCCUGCCCUAAAGUGCGCCGCAUCUUGGACAUUUGGGCCAGUGGUCGUGGCAUUGUCUCCCUGCAGUGCUUCCAGCAUGUGGUUGCCGUGGAGGCUUACACUCGAGAAGCAUGUCUUGUGGAUGCUUUAGGGAUCCGGACCCUGACCAACCAGAAGCAAGGACACUACUACGGAGUAGUGGCUGACUGGCCACCCACCCGGCGCCGCCGCUUGGGGGUGCAUCUGCUGCACCGUGCCCUCCUUGUCUUCCUGGCUGAGGGUGAGCGAGAGCUACGGCCCCAGGACAUCCAGGCCCGUGGCCGAGCACUGGGGAAUUGGCUAUCCAGCCUUGGUAGAGAUCAGGGUGUCUGAAUGUUCCAGCUGCCCUGUACUGAGAGCAGCCCAUCUCCUGCUCCAGAAGGCUGGUGGGGGAACACCAGGCCAGAUGUCCCCCGGAACAGAGGAAAGACUUUUAUUACAUAUUGGAACUGCUGGAGAGGUAGUGACCUCCCUGUCAUGGGAUGAGAAUAAGGGUAUGUGGGGGGAGAAACAUACAUUUGGAACAUUCUGGUGCUUUGAAACAUGCCAGUGCUUUGGUAGUUUGAUUCUAUCUGGGCUUAUCUCCCAGACACAGGGGACCCAAAAUGUAGGCUGGCCUGAGGGCUUCCCCAGCCACCCAGCUCAAGAAGGGACUCUGCCCAGCUCAAGAGUCAGGCUUGGAGUUCCUGUUGUGGCACAGCGGGUUAAGACCACAGCGUAGUGUCUGUGAGGAUGCAGGUUUGAUCCCCAGCCUCACUCAGUGGGUUAAGGAUCCAGCGUUGCUGCAAGUUGUGGCAUAGGUCACAGAUGUGGCUCAGAUCUGGUGUUUCCACAGCUGUGGUUUAGGCUGGCAGUGCAGCUCCAGUUCGACCCCUGGCCCAAGAACUUCUGAAUGCCUCAGGCGUGGCAUUAAAAACAGCAACAACAACCAAAAAAAGGCAGGUUUUGCUGCUUCCCAGCUGUGUGGAACCUCGGACCAGUAAUUUCUCUGAGGCUUAGAGUCCUCAGUUGUACCCAAUGGGGAAAGCAGGAGGUUCCACCUUAGGAGGUCACUGAGGGAAUCAGAGUACACCAAGUCAUGGGGUAAAGUGUUUGGCUCAGGCCCUACAGCCCAGGUGGAAAGUCACUAGGGGUAUGGCGCCAGAAUGUUGUCGAGGGACCGACUGUGCAUGGUGAGGGGUGGGCAGAGCUGGGGAGGUGGUCAUGGUGUGGUGUGAGACACCAGCCCUCCUUGGGAUGACUGUGUGGAGCUUCCUGGCAUUGCUUCUCUGAACCAGUUUUUUUGUUUUGUUUUGGUUUGGUUUUUUUUCGCUAUAAAAUGGGGCUCACUAACUCCGACUUCAUGCAGAGAGCUUCAGUAAAUGUUAAGCGGCUAUCUGGUGAGAUGUUGGCGGAAUCCUUCAGAGCCGUCCCGUGGGUUUAUGGGCUUGGUGAGAUCUACUGCCUCAUUGGGUUCACCACCUGCCAGUCAUCAGGGCUCAGCGAAUUAGGUCCUGUAGGGGGCGGGCCAUAGCUGCACCUGACUCCUUGAUUCCACCGCUGAGCCCUGGCUACUCUGGCUAUUACGGUAAUUGGGGUCCCUGCCGCUGGAGUGGACUUGGGUCCUACCAUUUUUUUGGGGGGGAGGCCUUUUUUCCCUUUCUAGGGCUGCUCUCGCAGCAUAUGGAAGUUCCCAGGCACUAGGGGUCUAAUCAGAGCUGUAGCUGCCGGCCUACACCAGAGCCGCAGCAACGCGGGAGCCGAGCCGCGUCCGCAACCUACACCACAGAUCACGGCAACACCGGAUCCUUAACCCACUGAGCAAGGGCAGGGAUCGAACCCGCAACCUCAUGGUUCCUAGUCGGAUUCGUUAACCACUGAGCCACGACGGGAACUCCGGGUGCUACCAUUUUAACUAAACUGAAGAAGCCUCUCUCAGAGCUUCCCUUUCCUCAUGUGUAAGACGUAAUUCUUCUAGACACUGGGUAGUUGCUCCAUAAAUCAAUAGCAAUUAAAACAGCAUGCUGGUGUUCCCUUCAUGGAGGAGCAGAAAAGAAUCUGACUAGGAACCAUGAGGUUGAGGGUUUGAUCCCUGGCCUCACUCAGUGGGUUAGGGAUCUGGCGCUGCCGUGAGCUGUGGUGUAGGUCGCAGUUGUGGCUCGGAUCCUGCCUGGCUGUGGCUGUGGCGUAGGCCAGCAGCUGUAACUCCUAUUUGACCCCUAGCCUGGGAACCUUCAUAUGCAACAGGUGCAGCCGUAAAAAGCAAAAACCAAAACCAAAAAACCCCAAAAGACAGCAUGCCAUCUCCCAGGAAUACACAAACAGAAGGAAUACAGAGACACCCCUCCACACACACACCAAAAAAAGGCCCAGAAGAAAGUGGAUUUGUCUAACACAGAGUUUUCCAAUCUCGGCCCUACUGACUUUUAAGGCCAAGAUACUCCCUGCAGUGGGAACCAUCCUGUGCAUUGUAGGGUGCUGGAUGACAUUCCUGGGCUCCACCCACUAGAUGCCUGGAGCACCUCGCCCCCGCCCCAGUUGUGGCAAGUCUUCAGACUUUGACAACUAACAACAGUGCCCCUGUAAGAACCCCUGGUUUAAACUAAAGGUAGGAGGAUUUGGGGAGUUCUCACUGUGGCUCAGUGGGUUAAGAACCCUGACAUAGUGUCUGUAAGGGUUUGGUUCAAUCCCUGGCCUCACACAGUAGAUUAAGGAUCCGGCUUUGCCAAAAGCUUCUGCGUAGAUCGCAGGCGUGGCUCGGAUCUGGCAUUGCUGAGGCUGUGGUGUAGGCUGGCAGCUAUAGCUCUGAUUUGACCCCUAGGCUGGGAACCUUUUUAGGGUUCAGCCCU